This 662-nucleotide ribosomal RNA is filed under the name uncultured Lactobacillus sp. Its description in RNAcentral is "bacterial SSU rRNA". It matches the Rfam family "Bacterial small subunit ribosomal RNA", at positions 837 to 1502 of the family's 1533-position model. Lineage: Bacteria; Bacillati; Bacillota; Bacilli; Lactobacillales; Lactobacillaceae. The record is from RNAcentral.
CCUUCAGUGCUGCAGCUAACGCAUUAAGCAUUCCGCUGGGGAGUACGGCCACAAGGCUGAAACUCAAAGGAAUUGACGGGGGCCCGCACAGCGGUGGAGCAUGUGGUUUAAUUCGAAGCUACGCGAAGAACCUUACCAGGUCUUGACAUACUAUGCAAAUCUAAGAGAUUAGACGUUCCCUCCGGGGACAUGGAUACAGGUGGUGCAUGGUUGUCGUCAGCUCGUGUCGUGAGAUGUUGGGUUAAGUCCCGCAACGAGCGCAACCCUUAUUAUCAGUUGCCAGCAUUAAGUUGGGCACUCUGGUGAGACUGCCGGUGACAAACCGGAGGAAGGUGGGGAUGACGUCAAAUCAUCAUGCCCCUUAUGACCUGGGCUACACACGUGCUACAAUGGAUGGUACAACGAGUUGCGAACUCGCGAGAGUAAGCUAAUCUCUUAAAGCCAUUCUCAGUUCGGAUUGUAGGCUGCAACUCGCCUACAUGAAGUCGGAAUCGCUAGUAAUCGCGGAUCAGCAUGCCGCGGUGAAUACGUUCCCGGGCCUUGUACACACCGCCCGUCACACCAUGAGAGUUUGUAACACCCAAAGUCGGUGGGGUAACCUUUAGGAACCAGCCGCCUAAGGUGGGACAGAUGAUUAGGGUGAAGUCGUAACAAGGUAACCA